AGAACGAACGCUGGCGGCGCGCUUAACACAUGCAAGUCGAACGGGGUGUUGACCUUCGGGUUGGCACCUAGUGGCGAACGGGUGAGUAACGCGUGGGUACCUGCCCUGGGCACUGGGACAACCGCGGGAAACUGCGGCUAAUACCGGAUGACACCUCGGAUCGAGAGUGAGGGGGUCAAAGGCUCGUCGUGAGACGGGUCCGGCCUGGGAUGGGCCCGCGUCCGAUUAGCUGGUUGGUGGGUAACGCCCACCAAGGCAUCGAUCGGUAGCCUGGUCUGAGAGGAUGAUCAGCCACA
RNAcentral lists this ribosomal RNA (296 nucleotides) under uncultured soil bacterium. Its description in RNAcentral is "partial 16S ribosomal RNA". It matches the Rfam family "Bacterial small subunit ribosomal RNA", at positions 26 to 312 of the family's 1533-position model. The record is from RNAcentral.